GACGAACGCUGGCGGCGUGCUUAACACAUGCAAGUCGAACGGAAAGGCCUCUUUCGGGGGGUACUCGAGUGGCGAACGGGUGAGUAACACGUGAGUAACCUGCUCUUGACUUUGGGAUAACUUCAGGAAACUGGGGCUAAUACCGGAUAGGAGCUCCUGCUGCAUGGUGGGGGUUGGAAAGUUUCGGCGGUUGGGGAUGGACUCGCGGCUUAUCAGCUUGUUGGUGGGGUAGUGGCUUACCAAGGCUUUGACGGGUAGCCGGCCUGAGAGGGUGACCGGCCACAUUGGGACUGAGAUACGGCCCAGACUCCUACGGGAGGCAGCAGUGGGGAAUAUUGCACAAUGGGUGGAAGCCUGAUGCAGCAACGCCGUGUGCGGGAUGACGGCCUUCGGGUUGUAAACCGCUUUCGCUCAUGACGAAGCUUUGUGUGACGGUAGUGGGUAAAGAAGCACCGGCUAACUACGUG
RNAcentral lists this ribosomal RNA (467 nucleotides) under uncultured bacterium. RNAcentral describes it as "partial 16S ribosomal RNA". It matches the Rfam family "Bacterial small subunit ribosomal RNA", at positions 28 to 507 of the family's 1533-position model. The record is from RNAcentral.